Molecule: long non-coding RNA, 549 nt
Filed under: Cyanistes caeruleus (blue tit)
Lineage: Eukaryota; Metazoa; Chordata; Aves; Passeriformes; Paridae
Description: lncRNA (ENSCCEG00000016428.1)
Source: RNAcentral
CUACCAGUAACAACUAUGGAGGACAUUGUGGAACUGUCUAUAUGGUGACCAACAUGUUUUGAUGCUCAUCAUGUCACGAGGUCUUUUUUGGCUGAGGAAAAGCAGUAGUAAAAGACGUAGCUGGAAAUUCUAAAAUAAAAAUGAGCCCACAAGUGAUUUCCACCUCCUGACUAGGGGCAGAUGAAGCAUACCAUCUCCAGUCAAUGUACAGACUAGAGGAUGUCAUCACAAGCUACCUUGCUCUCCCCUGAAGAUCCCUGUGUUACCUUCUGAAGAUCUGAAUCAAAGAAAAUUUGGAAAACAAAAGAGCUUUCCAGUGCGGGGUCUGGCAGAACAGAAAAUAAGAUAGCAGAGUCUGCAUUCUUCUCCUUCAGACAGGACCCAAACAUUUCUACUGUGCCAAGCAGUUGGCUUCUGGAAGCCUUUUGGAGCAAAUAGUCCCAAAGUGUGACAUUUCUACAGCAUUGCAUGGGCCAGAGCUGCACAGAAGCCAUGAGCAUGAACAUCCUGGAAGGAAAUGGUCCUAAAGGACUGAGAAAAAAAUGUAAG